This is a non-coding RNA of Maylandia zebra (zebra mbuna), 589 nucleotides long. The record is from RefSeq and is a predicted model, not a curated record. NCBI's taxonomy places the organism in Eukaryota, Metazoa, Chordata, Actinopteri, Cichliformes, Cichlidae.
CGGUGCCUCACAGCCCUCUGCCUCUGGGAGUGGCCCCUUUCUACUAAGGAGGCAAGAGGUGGCCAGGAGUCUGUCAGCGAGUUCUGCAUGUCCUGGUGACCCUCCACCUGUUUCACAGUGUCACAGGGCAGCUCGAGCCUAUCCCAGCUAUCUUAGGGCGAGAAGCAGGGUGCACCCUCGACAGGUCACCAGUCUGUUACAGGGCUAACACAUAGACGCAGAAAACCAUUCGCACCUAUCGCCAAUUUACACUCUUCGAUUACCUAUUGCCACUAACUGCAGGUCGUUGGACUGUGGCAGGAAGCCGGACUACAAGGAAAGAACCCACGCAAAAACAGGAAGAACAUGCAAACUCCACACAGAGCGACGGUAGAGCUGAACUCAAGACCUUCUUCCUGUGCGGUAACGGUGCUAACCACUGUGCCGCCCGCGUAAGAGGAGAGCCACUGAGGGAACGCCUUCCGCCCUCCAACGCCUCCACCGUGACCUCCACUUCUGAGAGGAAUUGCCCACAGAUCAAGCAUGGAGUGUGCCUGAAUGGACAUACAGAACUCCAAGGUUCGGCCCAGUGUUGAGGGUUUUCCCAAAG